GGGGAGUCCUAAUGAGUGGGUUGGGUAAUUGGCCGUGUAAAUUGGGGAGAAAAUGGGAUAAGCUUUUAAUGUAGACUUGAAGGAAGCGUAAAACACAGCUAAGCUUUGUCUAGUGGUUAAAACUAAGGCUAAAACAAAGGGACAAAAAAGAAAAAAAAAAACAAGGACAAUGAAACAGGGUGACACAUACAUUUAAAGAGAGAAUCUACACAAAAUAAAAGUAUGAUAUAAUGUGAUGAGAUAAUCAUAAUCAUUUUGUUUUCUCUCUGUUCAGACAGCAUUGAGGACUACAUACAGACCACCGGCUCACACGUGGAGUCUGCUAACCAGGAGCUCGCAAAGGCCAGCCAUUAUCAGAGGCAGCUGAGAAAGAGGAAAUGCUAUCUGCUGAUAGCUGGAGCACUCAUACUGACUCUACUGAUCAUCAUCAUUGCUUUAUCAGCCAGAAAAUGAGGGAAAACAUCUAGCUGCUGGUUCCUGCUCCGCUGUGAUCUCUGCUCAGCCUCCGUCGGGCCGUCCGUUCCCUCACCCUCCUCCUGCCUCCGACUUCUCUCCUGUGUGCUUGCUCUUUUAUCUGUGUUGGGAAUAAUGUGAGAAUGUGUGUGAACAUUUUACGUACAUUUUAGGUAUUUUUAAUGAACACUGUUUUUACUGUCCUGCUCUAUACCUCUCCUGUCUGAGCUCAUAUCAAAGAACAAAAAUUCCAAACUGAUAUUAUUUUUGUUUUUGCUUUGUGUCAGUACCUUAAUAUUAACUAGAUCCACAUAUAUAUUCAGUAGUAAAAUAAAAAAAAUACAUGUCUACAUUCUUUUUUUUUUCUAGAGCACAAAAUAACAUAUAUAUGGUGACA
RNAcentral lists this long non-coding RNA (850 nucleotides) under Astyanax mexicanus (Mexican tetra). Its description in RNAcentral is "lncRNA (ENSAMXG00005003979.1)". The record is from RNAcentral. Lineage: Eukaryota; Metazoa; Chordata; Actinopteri; Characiformes; Acestrorhamphidae.